Molecule: long non-coding RNA, 6696 nt
Organism: Cavia porcellus (domestic guinea pig)
Lineage: Eukaryota; Metazoa; Chordata; Mammalia; Rodentia; Caviidae
Exons: 2
Source: RefSeq, a predicted model, not a curated record
ACCUUGGGAGCGACCAGGGGAAUGGCUGACAGCUUGUUCCAGGCCAGCACGAGAGGAGAGGCAGGGGUGGAAAAGAUCCAGGUCAAGGCAGGUGCUACGAGGUGCCCAGAGCCCAGGAGCCUCCGGACGCAGUGUUGGGGUCAAAUCCAGGGCCUGGCAAAUGUUGGUCCAGCGCAGUCGCUGACUGCUGUCUCACCCCGUGAGGCUGUGUUAGCAGUGGAUGGAGCGGACACCAAGAUGCCUCCACCCCACACGUGUCAGGAGCGGCGUGCUCGGCUGUGAUCCUUGUGUGUGUAGCUCUUUUGUGCUCUUGGUCACCAAGCCCCACAGAUGCGCUCUGCCUUGUGGUGAGCUGGCUGCGCUGCAAACCCACCGCGAGCUGAUAUUUCAAAGACAGACUUAACACACGCAGCCCACCAAGCAUCCUAGCUUCGCCUGCCUGAAUGUCUCCAGAGCAUUGCUCAGCACGCAGUUGGCGGUGGUAUCACACCCGGAGCCCAUUGUGUAAAUUGACUCUCUCGUGUGACGUACAUAGCACUUGUAGCCCAGAAAUGCUUGCCAGCUGGCACGCUGUGGAACUGGUUUUUCCCUAGUGAUGGUGGGGCUGACUGGGAGCUGCAGGUGCUGCUGCCCGGCGUCGGAAGAGAGGAUCUGACCCCAUAUUGCUAGUCUGGGAAAAGAGCCAGAUUCAAAAUUCAAAACUCAAAGCAGGAUGUUGUGCAUCACUAAAAAGCUGAAAAAAUCGCAAGUGGGACCAUUAUAAAGCCGGGACAGCCUGCGUUUCCACUGCAGGGGUGAGGCUCAGAGAGGGAGGUGAGGCUGGGCCCGAGCUGCUCACAGCGGCUGGGCUUUGAACACAGCCCAGGCCCAGCUUCUUCCCGCCUGCAGAGGAGGAUCAAGGCGGCUGCAUCACAAAGCCACACGCAGCCAAGGCCGAGCCACAGGUGGGAAGCGCGAGUGCCACCGAGGUGAAAAUGAACCUAGGUACAAGGCUGAGUGCUCAGAGAGCGUGGAGAAGGGUUUUACUUAGAAAGAAACCAAAACGGCACACGAAUGUUGCAAGAACGGCUUCACUUUGUAAGUCACUAAAAAGAUGGCGAGCACGAAUGCGUUAUGCAUUAUCAUCUCCGUUAUUAGGCUACAAAAACGCACGUGGUGCCUUGGGGCAGGCUGGCAGAAAGCACGCACACGGUCACCCUAUCCGCGAACCUGAGGCGCAGUGCAGACCCACGCCACGGAUGGCACCAAACCCCGCGUUCACUGCUCUCCCUCUUGCAUUCACAACUCUCUGGCAAUUAGACAUAUUAAGGAAUAGACAGCAACCACUAACACAGCGGCACAGUUACAACAGUGUGCUGUAACAGAAGUCAUUCAAGGCCUCAGAACUGUUAUUUGUGGAAUUUUCCAGGUAAGAGUUUCAAACCGCCAUUGACUGCAAUUAACUGACUCCCUGGAACGUGACUGCAACAAGGCGGCCUGCUGGGUGAGGAGGAGGCGCCUCACGGUGGGGCCAGAACCGGGCAGUGGCUCCCUCUGUCCCCAGGGCCUGCGUGUGUUUGAGGAGCUGUCAUUCUCUCCACAUAAACCCGGCCAGUGGCAGAGCCAGGUGAGGGGCUCUGCACCACGCAGGAGGAGGCUGAGGCAGGAGCAAUCUGAACCCUCAGCGUGCCGAGUGCACCAUCGGGGAGGCCGCUGCUGCCGUGCUCCUCUUGGGGCUUCUGCUCUGUCUCAGCCCAGCCCCAUCCUCCAGGGUGGGUGGGCUUCCUGCCAGGCCUUCAGGCUGUGGAAACUCAUGCGUGGUUCUCUGGUUUCCUUGUUGGAUUUUUCCGACUAUAACUUCUAAGACAGGAACAACGUGCCCCUCCACAUCCCCUCCAGGGGUCACCUCUUCCCUGAACUGAUCAGGAAACGCAGGGCCAGGAGCAGGAGUACUCAGGUGACUGUGGCCUGGCGUGGUGUCAAGCACUCGGAGCUUAGGGCCUUCGGAUUCCUUUUUCCCUGAGAGUCGGUCGGUCAAGUGCAGACGCCUCUCUCGGGCUGGGGUCACUAAGUCCACUUAGUGGUGCUGUUAUCUCCUCAGACAUGGGGAGCUCUGUGGGUUUUUCACACGUACUCAAAGGAACCGACGGCAGAAUGACCAGGAUUCAGGACCAGGAUACGAGACGAGCAGGUUCUAAAGAUGCCAGACACGUUGUCCAGGGCGGGUCCUGUGUGCGUCGUCCCUUAGCUGUGAGAAGAGCUGGACAUGCCAGGCAUGGGGCUGGCCACUGCGCAUCUGUCACUCCUAUGUCAGUCCUCACCACUGUGCUGCACGCCAGGGGUCACCGCUGCCCUGAAUGGACGAGGAAAGGUGGGUUACAGUCCCCACAGGACACCCUCCAGGUACCCGGCUCCAGCCACAUGACCUCAUCAGGACUCAGAGGCCGCUGUGGCCUGGCAGAUGCUGGCGCUGGUGCUUAGGACAUUCCUGGCUGGAAGGGGUGCUGUGGGGCCUGCUGCUCCCCUGCUUCAGCAUCCUUCCCCAAGGUCUUCUCUGCUCAUGGCUCAGGGUAGAGGAUUUGCAUUUCUAGCUAAAACAGAGACAGCAGCCUGACCGAAGGUGGCCUUGCUGUGCCCCUGAGAUCCUCCCCCUGAAGCCUCAGUGCAACGGCAUCUCCAGCGAGCCUGCACCUGGCUCGGAGGCAGAGCAUGGCCCCAGCACCCCAUGCUGAGCUUUGGGGUGAUCUCCACUGCCAGACCAUCCCUGACAAGUGCACUCUGAAGGUGCUGGUGGGACUGGUUGCCUGUUACCGAGAACCCCAAAAGACCCUUAAUUGGGAAGCCCUUUGCCCACCUGACAUCCCACAUCCAGGUCCAGUGUGCAGUGUCCUUCUCCCCGUCUGCUCUGCGUGCUUCUUGCUAGCUUGCUAGUGGAUGUGAAUAUUUUCCCAAACCAUCAUGCUGGGUCUAGAGUUUUCUUUCCUGGAACAAUGGAGAAUUGUGGUCAAAUUUAGGACAUUUAAUCUCUCUCCUGAAAUCCUGACAAAAAUCCUCCCAGGGUGACAUCCAAACCUCAGGCUGGCUGAGUUCCGCCCCCACCCGUCGCCAGCCACAGCCCUCAGGCAGCCGCACACCCAAGGCCUCAGCCCCGCGCUCCCUCAUGGUCAUGCGCUGUGACACCUGCCUGCCUUGGCACAGGUGCCCGCGAAGCGGGGCCCUGCAGGGACCGAUGUGUGCUUGUUCCCUCCCCCCUUGCUUAUGUGACCAGGAGAUGAGACAUUUUUGUGGUCCAGGGACAGAAGUAGGAAGGUAGCUUUUCGGAGCAACCUUCACAACCAGCUUACCUCCGCAUGACAGAGGGUCUCUGAAGCGGAAGGGGUGGCUGCAGCCGAAAGAGCAUCAUGGUGGUCUCUUCCUGUUUCUCCCUGCUCCUGGAGCUCUCUGCAGCCUGAGGAGGCAGGGUCCAAGCUCGGGACCAGGCCACGCGGCUUGGUGGCCCAUGUGCCUGGGUCCACGGCAGGGCCACCUUGCUGAAUGGAUGGUGGUGCACAGGCCGGAAGCUGCCCAUACCUCUGCCCAUGCUUCCCAGUGGACAGCACUGUGUGGAAGUGACCAGUCUGGCUGGUUGCUGCCCUCACAGAAACAGUCAAAGAGGGGCGUCUGCUGGAUGGUGGGCCCACGCGCCUCUCCUGGGCUUGGCAGCCAGCCCCACUGCGGACCUGGCAUCCUUCUCUACCUUUCUCUGUGGACCCUUCCUGAUGAGCCCCUCUUUCUGGCACCUGUCCCUAGUGGGUGCCUCUCUCUUUCUGCACCUGCGCAGAAUGGAGGGCCCUGGGGUUCUGGAGUUCUCGUGGUAUUACCCGCGAUCGCCCACAAGGGGAGCUGUGGCGCUCUCCCGGCCAGACAGACCAGAUUGAAGAGGGGCCUGAGUGGGGAGGGCCCCGUGGUUGCUGUGGGGCUACACAUCCGGGGAUUUAACCAGCCAUGGAGUAUGCAAGAAACGGCAUCUUCACUGAACUUGCUCAAAGCUUUUCUUGUUCUUUUCCCUCUGUCAGUGGUGGAGAGCCUACGGCCUGAGCGCCCCAGCGGGCUGUUGUAGCCCUACCCUGCCCAGGAUAAUAACUCUACACAGCACUCACACUGUGUUAGAUAUUUUGCAUUAUCUAGAGGUGCUGUCAAGUGCUUGGAGGACAGGUUAAGGUAUGUGCAAAUAUAUCAUUUUAUACAAAAGACAUGAGCAUCUGCAGAUUGGAACAUCUGCAGGUGGGUCACAAAAGCAAUUCCCAGAUACGGAGGGAUAAGUGUAUUUUAUGGGGGUCGCAGAGAAGGCUGGGUUGGGUAUUGAAAUGACACCGGAAGGAAGAGAGGAGGAAGUCACGUGGCACCUGGUGGAACCGAGCCUCAGGCAGAUGGGUGGGAAUGCACCUGGCCUGUUUAAGGAAGAGCGGGGAAGCCGUGGAGGGCUUGGGGAGCAGAACGAAGGGGAUAAAGAUGCCCUGGACUGCAUACAAAACAGGCUCUGGACUGCAAGGGGCCCAACAGACUGAGGGAGCCGGGCUGCCACGAGCCCUUCCCUCUGGUCGAAAGGUCCCUGGUAGAGAGCGCCUGCUUGGGAGAAGCGCUGGCCAGCGCCGUGCCGGGCUGGUUGCUCUGGUGCCUUCCACACCCUUGCAUCUGGACUCCCUGCUUCUGCUCCUCUCUUGGGGAGCCUUGAAGACUGUUUGAUGAGGCCCAGACCCAUAACCCUCAUCCACAGCGCUGUCUACUCUGAACACACCCUGGCCACUUCCUGAGGGUCAGACACACGUGAGCUCAUGGGCCAUCUGGAUGUCCUACCCAUGCAGGCCUGCAAUUCCCUUCUCCUGGGUAACACAGCCAGCUUGUCACCCUGUAAUCCCUGCCUGUUAAGAUACGGAAACCACCCACAGGCUUCAGCUCCUAUGCCAGUCCAUUAUGGAGUUUUUGCUUUUCUGGAGAGAGAUGCCAGCUGUUCCUGGAGGUCCAGUUCACACAGCUCUUCCCUGGGGACCCCUGGAGUCUGUCUGAACUGGGUGAAGUGCUGUGGUUGUAGGGUCCACCUCUCUGGUCAGCAGAAGCCUGGGCUGUUAGGAUUCAUGGCUGCAACUGCAACUCAAGGCAGCUCUAGGACUCACUCAGCAAGUUCCUGAGACUUGGAGACUUGGUAGACAGACACUGCCUUCCCACGGGUCUGGAGGUGCUCCGAGUCCACGGUCAGAGUACCUGUGUGUUGGAGAUCUGGUGAGGGCUUCUCUCCACUGCCAAGAUGGCACCCUGUAGCUGUGUCCCCUGGGUGGGCAAUAGAAGGGUCAAGGAACACUGGGGUUCCUCUUCAUUUAUCACACUGGCUGUCUUAGUUACUUUUCUUUCAUUGCUGGAGCAGAAUACCUGACACCCAACAUGAAGGAAGCAGACGUUUACUUAGCUCACUGUUUGUGGAGGCUGCAGUCCAUAAUCAGCUGGCUCCAAGGCAGGGUGGCGUGGCACCGGGGCAACACUUCAAGACAGCAGCCAGCAAAAGCAGCCAGAGCAAAAGAGGGAAGAACAAGCCUCUUCUCCUCCCUUGUAUUGUAUGCAGACCUCCCCCUCUCCAGGGCAGAGGUAGCACUCACCCAUCUCCGUGCCCUCCUCUUGCACAGGCUGAGGAUAUUACAAAGUAGGAAUGUGGCUGGCUGCUGAGUCUCUUAGUUCAGCUUCUUAACUGCUCAGUUCAAUGCAGUGUAUCAACCGUAACACUGACCACUCAGCUCCCACCCCUGAAGUGGGGAUGAGUGACAUUCACAGCAUAGCACUCUGUCCCGUUUCCCAAAUGUAUGGCCUCAUUUGCAGAAUGUAUUUAUUCCAUGCUAAUAGCUCCUAAAAUCUCAAAUUUUUUGUGUCAGUUUAUAACUACAGUUCAGAGUCCUAUCUAUAUUGGAAGUGAGAGACUCCAGUCCCGGUCUGUCCUGAGCGAAUCCCCCUCACUGUGAGGGAACAGGAGUGUGGCUGCGCCCAGAACUCUGCUGCUGCCAGGGCCGGUGCGCCCAGACCUCGCCUUCCACCUCUCCCUAUCCCAGGCUGCUGCUCACUGCAGACCUGUUCCGUAGCCUCUUCCUCAGGGCUUUUGUUCAGCUCAAGAGCACCGCGGAUGGACACUAGCUGGCCUUGUGUAGGCCACAUGCAACCUGUAGCAGGAGUAGGGCACCGCUUUGGACUGGCGGCUCCCCUCCUGGCCAGAGAUGACCAAAGUUUUCCCUACUCGGGUGAGGUGUGGGCAAGGCUUGGCGCAUAACUGCCAAUGACACCUCUGCAUCCAGGCUCCCAGGCUCGUGCCCGAGACCCUCCUCACAGCUGUCCAGAUGUGGGGAAGGACAAAGAAAUGCACCUGUCAACCAUGGUCAUUACAUCUACAGGCAGCGAUCAUCCACCCGCCAUGUAGAACCUGUGUCCAGUGUGUUCAAUCAACAAUUCUCUUCCCACAGGAGCAGUUACUCCCAUCCUCUACGUAGAGAAACUGAGGCACAGAGGCCUAAAGUGACUCUGAAGAUCACCAGCCUAGCUGGUCUGCUGGGUUGGAAACUUGGCCUUUUCCUCCCAAAAUGUUAUGACCAUGGACAAGUCCAGACAGGAAAAGAAGAUUCUCCGAAACACAAUGCAAUGGAAACAAAACAAAAUGUGUAAAUAUAAGAAAAGCAAAAUAAAUCAGCCAGAUGAAGUGAA